Molecule: ribosomal RNA, 207 nt
Filed under: uncultured bacterium
Lineage: Bacteria
Description: partial 16S ribosomal RNA
Rfam family: Bacterial small subunit ribosomal RNA
Source: RNAcentral
CGUGUAGGCGGUGCUUUAAGUUGGAUGUGAAAUCUUCCGGCCUAACUGGAAGGGGCCAUUCAAUACUGGGGCACUUGAGGUCAGAAGAGGGAAGCGGAAUUCCCGGUGUAGCGGUGGAAUGCGUAGAUAUCGGGAGGAACACCCGUGGCGAAAGCGGCUUCCUGGUCUGCACCUGACGCUGAUACGCGAAAGCUAGGGUAGCAAACG